CAUAGCGGUCUAUGUAGACUCCCACAACAUCGUGGGAUUCUCCAUAAAUGCACCCAAUUCACUGCAACCAUUACUUGUAACGGCUGUUAGGAAUGACCAUUGGACUGACCCUUGAGUGUAAGAAAGUCAGGUGUUGAAGAAAUACAGAGAGAAAUGUCAAAGUGAGUAUUUCAUAAAGAUUCGAUCUUGAUGAAAUACUAAUUUUUCAGGUGUUGUUGACAGUGACUGUUUAGUUGUCAAUUUCAAC
Non-coding RNA from Pelobates cultripes (western spadefoot toad), 247 nucleotides. NCBI's taxonomy places the organism in Eukaryota, Metazoa, Chordata, Amphibia, Anura, Pelobatidae. The record is from the annotation of a GenBank genome assembly.